Molecule: ribosomal RNA, 254 nt
Filed under: uncultured bacterium
Lineage: Bacteria
Description: partial 16S ribosomal RNA
Rfam family: Bacterial small subunit ribosomal RNA
Source: RNAcentral
UACGUAGGGUGCGAGCGUUGUCCGGAAUUAUUGGGCGUAAAGAGCUCGUAGGCGGUCUGUCGCGUCGGUCGUGAAAACUUGGGGCUUAACCCUGAGCUUGCGGUCGAUACGGGCAUGACUGGAGUUCGGUAGGGGAGACUGGAAUUCCUGGUGUAGCGGUGAAAUGCGCAGAUAUCAGGAGGAACACCGGUGGCGAAGGCGGGUCUCUGGGCCGAUACUGACGCUGAGGAGCGAAAGCGUGGGGAGCGAACGGG